GUUGAACGCUGGCGGCGUGCCUAACACAUGCAAGUCGAGCGAACAGACGAGGAGCUUGCUCCUCUGACGUUAGCGGCGGACGGGUGAGUAACACGUGGAUAACCUACCUAUAAGACUGGGAUAACUUCGGGAAACCGGAGCUAAUACCGGAUAAUAUAUUGAACCGCAUGGUUCAAUAGUGAAAGACGGUUUUGCUGUCACUUAUAGAUGGAUCCGCGCCGCAUUAGCUAGUUGGUAAGGUAACGGCUUACCAAGGCGACGAUGCGUAGCCGACCUGAGAGGGUGAUCGGCCACACUGGAACUGAGACACGGUCCAGACUCCUACGGGAGGCAGCAGUAGGGAAUCUUCCGCAAUGGGCGAAAGCCUGACGGAGCAACGCCGCGUGAGUGAUGAAGGUCUUCGGAUCGUAAAACUCUGUUAUUAGGGAAGAACAAAUGUGUAAGUAACUAUGCACGUCUUGACGGUACCUAAUCAGAAAGCCACGGCUAACUACGUG
RNAcentral lists this ribosomal RNA (497 nucleotides) under uncultured bacterium. RNAcentral's name for it is "partial 16S ribosomal RNA". It matches the Rfam family "Bacterial small subunit ribosomal RNA", at positions 28 to 507 of the family's 1533-position model. The record is from RNAcentral.